RNAcentral lists this ribosomal RNA (468 nucleotides) under uncultured bacterium. RNAcentral describes it as "partial 16S ribosomal RNA". It matches the Rfam family "Bacterial small subunit ribosomal RNA", at positions 28 to 507 of the family's 1533-position model. The record is from RNAcentral.
GACGAACGCUGGCGGCGUGCUUAACACAUGCAAGUCGAACGGAAAGGCCCUGCUUUUGUGGGGUGCUCGAGUGGCGAACGGGUGAGUAACACGUGAGUAACCUGCCCUUGACUUUGGGAUAACUUCAGGAAACUGGGGCUAAUACCGGAUAGGAGCUCCUGCUGCAUGGUGGGGGUUGGAAAGUUUCGGCGGUUGGGGAUGGACUCGCGGCUUAUCAGCUUGUUGGUUGGGUAGUGGCUUACCAAGGCUUUGACGGGUAGCCGGCCUGAGAGGGUGACCGGCCACAUUGGGACUGGGAUACGGCCCAGACUCCUACGGGAGGCAGCAGUGGGGAAUAUUGCACAAUGGGCGGAAGCCUGAUGCAGCAACGCCGCGUGCGGGAUGACGGCCUUCGGGUUGUAAACCGCUUUCGCCUUUGACGAAGCGUUAGUGACGGUAAUGGGUAAAGAAGCACCGGCUAACUACGUG